This 450-nucleotide ribosomal RNA is filed under the name uncultured bacterium. Its description in RNAcentral is "partial 16S ribosomal RNA". It matches the Rfam family "Bacterial small subunit ribosomal RNA", at positions 354 to 796 of the family's 1533-position model. The record is from RNAcentral.
UUGGGGAAUCUUCCGCAAUGGACGAAAGUCUGACGGAGCAACGCCGCGUGAGUGAAGAAGGUUUUCGGAUCGUAAAGCUCUUUCGUUAGGGACGAACGUGCUCUUUGUGAAUAAUGAGGAGUAAUGACGGUACCUAAAUAAGAAGCCACGGCUAACUACGUGCCAGCAGCCGCGGUAAUACGUAGGUGGCAAGCGUUGUCCGGAAUUAUUGGGCGUAAAGCGCUCGCAGGCGGGAUAUCAAGUCUGUCUUAAAAGUGCGAGGCUCAACCUCGUGAGGGGACAGAAACGGGUAUUCUUGAGUGUCGGAGAGGAAAGUGGAAUUCCAAGUGUAGCGGUGAAAUGCGUAGAGAUUUGGAAGAACACCAGUGGCGAAGGCGACUUUCUGGACGAUGUCUGACGCUGAGGCGCGAAAGCUAGGGGAGCGAACGGGAUUAGAUACCCUUGUAGUCC